GUCAACUCAUGGGGUCGACCUCUGCACAGGGGUCGACCUCUGUGGCAUAGAACAGAAAAUCACUAUUCUAUAUCUUUGGCCUGCACAGCAAUAGAGGUCGACUCAUGGGGUUGUCUCCUUUAGGUGUGCCAGCCAAAAAUAGCAUGCUGUUCGGCCCCUUUUGAUAGGAGUCGACUCAUAGGAUCGACACAAUUCUUUAAACUUGAAUUUCUCUCAAUAUAUUCAUCCAAAAAGUAUGAAAUUGCCUCCAA
RNAcentral lists this long non-coding RNA (251 nucleotides) under Elaeis guineensis (African oil palm). RNAcentral's name for it is "long non-coding RNA (EGUI_LNC063527)". The record is from RNAcentral. Lineage: Eukaryota; Viridiplantae; Streptophyta; Magnoliopsida; Arecales; Arecaceae.